GACGAACGCUGGGCGGGCGUGCUUAAAAACAUGCAAGUCGAACGGACUUCUCAUGAAGCUUGCGAUUGAGAAGUUAGUGGCGGACGGGUGAGUAACGCGUGGGCAACCUGCCCCUGAGCCCGGGAUAACAGUUCGAAAGGACUGCUAAGACCGGAUAUACUUGCGGUGAAGCAUUUCACUGCAAGGAAAGGGAACGCUCAGGGAUGGGCCCGCGUCCCAUUAACUAGUUGGUGAGGUAACGGCCCACCAAGGCGACGAUGGGUAGCCGGCCUGAGAGGGUGAACGGCCACACUGGGACUGAGACACGGCCCAGACCCCUACGGGAGGCAGCAGUUGGGAAUCUUCGGCAAUGGGCGCAAGCCUGACCGAGCAACGCCGCGUGAGUGAUGAAGGUUUUCGGAUUGUAAAGCUCUGUCUUCCGGGACGAUAAUGACGGUACCGGAGGAGGAAGCCACGGCUAACUACGUG
Molecule: ribosomal RNA, 468 nt
Filed under: uncultured bacterium
Lineage: Bacteria
Description: bacterial SSU rRNA
Rfam family: Bacterial small subunit ribosomal RNA
Source: RNAcentral